Molecule: RNA transcript, 2499 nt
Organism: Lucilia sericata (common green bottle fly)
Lineage: Eukaryota; Metazoa; Arthropoda; Insecta; Diptera; Calliphoridae
Gene name: translation initiation factor IF-2
Exons: 3
Source: RefSeq, a predicted model, not a curated record
AAUCCAUCUUCCCAAGAAAUUUCCAUUGACUUGUUGCAGAUUAAUCUCACUCAUAGAGUUGUUUUGAGUUUUGGAAUUUGACAUUUGAAGUGUUUCUUAAGUGUUGUAAAGUGAUUCAUUAAACGUUCACCUAUAUCAGUAAUCAACUGUAAAAUACGAACAUAAUCCCCGAUAUAACAAUAAAGAUACAUUUUGUUCAAAAUAAGCGAGAUAAAAUAGAAAUAAGUUUCAUAUUAUAUAUUGAUUAUAAUUAUAGUCGAUUUUCCCAACAUACCAUUUUUUCUUUUAUGUUGUUUACGUUUUUGUUUUAUCGCUUUCCAACACUAACAUUACAGCAACGAUUUGACAAUCAACAGACUCUCCCCAUUUCAUGAGUGAUUUUUUUUUAUUGUAUUGCACAAAGCGAUUUACAAAUCAUAAAUUUAUUUAUAAAUUUACGAAGAUUCUUUAAAUAAUACAUAAUUUUAAUAUACAAAAUUAAGUUCCCUCCAAUGAGUGUGUAGUUAAAAAAGUAAUUCUCGAUAAAAAAGGAAGAGAUAUUGUAAAAAGAAAAAAUAAGCUUGCAAUCACUUCCGUUCGAAAGAAAGACAGCACAAAGGGAAAGACAAAAAAUUGCUGUUGAUCUUAAAUAAACGCCUAUAAAAAUUGGUAAAGUAAUAGAGAAAUUAUUUAUAAAGAGCAGAAAAUUUAAAUAAAAAAUGGUUGAUCGUUUGGUGAAUUCGGAAGCAAAUUCCAGGCGUAUAGCCAUGGUGGAAAACUGUUUUGGCAGUUCGGGUGUGCCUUUAGCAAUACCAGGACGGGUAUUGGUUGGUGAGGGUGUAUUAACCAAAAUGUGCCGAAAACGACCCAAGUCUAGGCAGUUCUUCCUCUUUAACGAUAUUUUGGUGUACGGCAAUAUAGUCAUAGGAAAAAAGAAAUACAAUAAACAACAUAUAAUGCCUUUGGAAGAGGUCUCAUUGGAGAACAUAGAUGACUGUGUACAAUAUCGCAACGGUUGGUUGAUACGGACAACAACAAAAUCGUUUGUGGUAUGCGCUGCAACAGCAACAGAAAAACAAGAAUGGAUGGCUCAUAUUAACAAGUGUGUAGAGGAUUUGCUCCGUAAAUCUGGUAAGAAGCCUGUAGAAAAUCAUGCUGCCGUUUGGGUACCAGAUGCUGAGGCAACGGUUUGCAUGCACUGCAAGAAAACUCAGUUCACAAUGAUCGUGCGACGUCAUCAUUGUCGCAACUGCGGAGCUGUCGUGUGUGGUCCUUGCUCCUCUAAAAAAUUCUUAUUACCACAACAGAGCUCCAAACCACAACGUGUUUGCACCUCAUGUUAUGAGCGUCUCAGCAAAGCUGUUAAACAGGAAUCGUCCAAAAUUCAUUCUGCAGUCAACAACCAAUCUCACAAUGACUCACACGCCAAUACGGCCGAAUCAUCAGGCGAUGAUGAUUCCGAUGAAGAGACGAACGGUGCUGGCACCGAACAACAUGAUCAACCGAAAUUUUAUGGUGAUACCAGCAUCUUAUCAGCUAAUGAUUCAACAAAGAAUGAAACGUCCUCUUCAGCCACCCAGCUGAACUCUAGUCACUCACCCAGUAACUGAUAUUUGCAUAAAUUGGAAAAAGGUUGGGUGUGGGUGGUUAAGAAAUCGAAAUGAGAAGCGUUUAUUAUUCAAAUGUUAUUAAAACACCAGUUGUUAUUAUAGCAGUUAAUGUAUUUUUAAAAUUUUAUAUUUGUAAUUAUUUAAAAUAUUGCCUUAUGCACUUCGUUCAUCAACGUUUAUCAAUGGCUAAAUUAUUCUACGGUUAUUUCUUAAAGAAAUGGAGGAAGAAGAACGUAAAAAACUUGAAAAGGAGCGCAUUAAGGAAUUAAGAAAAGCUGCUACUUUCAAAGCACGACCAAAUCCCUUUAAAAAUUAAGACAUUUUUAUACGAGAAAGAUUUUUAUCUAAAAGAAAAAUUGUUAAAAACUUAAAUUAUAAAAUUGUGUUUUGUUACUUACAAAUAGUUUUAAUUGUAAAAACAAGUCGAAUAUUAAAAUUUUUCCUUUUUACGAAAUACAUCAACAAUAACAUAUAAUAAACUAAGGAAAAACUUCGCUCUGUUGAGGGGUUUAUCUAUAAAAAUAUUUUUUGAAUGUACAACAAACAGUUAAUUAAUAUUUCAAAAUUUAGAUAUAACGCAGACAGCCAGCCAGCCAGCCAGCCAGUCAGCCAAGCCAGCCUUCACGUUUACAAAUACACAAACACACUAAAGAUAUGAAAAAAUAAUAACAAGUUUAAAAUUUUAAUUUCAUUCAUUAUAAUUUUUAUUACUUUUUAACUACUUGUACUAACACUUUUUUCGAAGAUUGCUAUAAUGCAAUGCAACACAUAUUAAAAAAGAAAAUCUUGCGUUUAUGUAAAAAUUGUUUUAAUUAUUAUAUAUUUUUAUAUUUCUUAGAAUACUGUAAAAACAAUUAUAUUGAUUUUAAUAGAGUACGUCUAUAAUAAAAUAUACUAAUUACCACUCACA